Molecule: long non-coding RNA, 252 nt
Filed under: Manihot esculenta (cassava)
Lineage: Eukaryota; Viridiplantae; Streptophyta; Magnoliopsida; Malpighiales; Euphorbiaceae
Description: long non-coding RNA (MESC_LNC008138)
Source: RNAcentral
UUUUACUCUCACCAAUAAGGUUAGUGUGCCUCCAGAUUUAUCAACUGCGCCUGAUAGCCUCUAUACUCCUGUGGAAACAGCAACAACAUUCUUCCCUUCCACUUUAGAAUGUUUCGCAGAACCGGAAGGCAAGAUAGUAAUCUUCUUUUGAUUCCACGUGAAUAUGUAUGAAUUCUCCUUUCCCUUAUACAAAGCAUCAAUAUCAAAUUGCCAAGGGCGACCUAGCAAAAUUUCACAGCAAUCCAUAUCCAC